CAGCAGAGCAACGUGGUUAAAAGGCAGCUGUCUUGAGUCUUAAUACGAAGACCCUUGAAAAUGGAAUUCUCAGGAAAGAAGGGAGUGCUUAUUCUGCCUCUUGAAGGAAAGUAAAGAGAAACUCAACUGAGAUAUCUAACAGAUCUGUUUUGGAGACCCAGUGAUUCAGACAGUGAUGCACCUACAGGGCGUAUCAGCGGAUGAUUUCUUUCCACGAGGGCUGUGGCAUCACUGAGUGAAGCUCAAUAAAAUAGGACCAGCAACAAAAUCAGGAACAUAAAUGUGACUCUAUAGCAAUUUUUUUUUGCUAUUAGAGGCAACUCUACUAUUGUGAUGAAAACAUUUAGAGUUGUGAAAGUCUGCGCUGGAGUCUCAGCUCCGAUACUAACUUGUUGAGUAAUUUUGAGCAAGUCUUUUAAUAUCUGUUUCUCUCUCUCUCUCUCUCUCUCUCUCUUUUUUUUUUUUUUUGGUCUGCAAAAUGAGCAUAAUAUUUACUCUAAUCAAAAGCUAUCAGAAUUUAAAAAGGAUCAUAUAUGUAAAGUGCUUUAAAAACAGUAAAAUGCUAUAGAAAAAAAAGCUAUUAUAAAGCUAAUGGACCACUAAAAUGACAGAACCUAGUACAGAUUAGAUUUUCUUACAAGGGGGGUCUAUUUCCAAUGGGUCAUUGGUGCAAGGAGCAUGCCUUUAAAUCCGUAAAUUAUUAUCUUCCUGGAAAAUCAGGAGAACCUAAAACAAGGAGAGAAAAGGAGGCCUGAAGCUAUAGGUAUAUCAAAAUUUAAAGAAUGUGUCAAGUGUGAAUGCUAGUCUACGUGGUGGAAUUCAAGUAUCUAUACACUGUAGGGGGGCAGGGAGCUUAAAGAUAAAGCUUUCCUAUGUCUCCUGGAAUGUGGACCCUUUGUUGGGGAUUCUCGAGGUGAAGCAUUCCAUAGGAAGUAUUUGUUUAAUUAAUCGUAGCCAGAACGUAGCUGGGGGUAGGCCAGAUUCCAUCGUGUAAUGUUAUUGCUCCUCCAACCAAGAUACGUGCAUACUUUAAGCCAAGGGCAAACCCACAAGAUUUGAACUCCUAACCUUUAAAACACAAGGCGGCUACUUUGGCCACCAGGCACCCCAGUUCUUGUUUACCAGGACUGGGAGUUCUCAUCAGACAGAGCCCCAUUUAUUCCAUGACCCUAGCAGAGCAACUCAAAGGAAUAUCCAUUUUAAAAUCGUAUCUGUGGCACCGAAAGGAUUCUGGAGCUCUGAAUCAGCCCCUUACCUCAUGGCAAAAUUUACAGGCUUGCAGAGUUAAAUGAAAAUCAGAUUGGAAUGUACGGGCUUCUAUUUUUCUGUAAUGACAUGUUGUGAGGAAAGGGAAGGCAAUUUUCUUGGAGAUUCCUCUAAAGCCAGUGCACUUGCGGUGGUUGUUUUGGUUUACAGAACUAUCUGAAACAGACCCAGGGCCCACUGCCCUCUCCGGGUGCAGGGCUCUGGACCACACAGGCCACUUGUUCAAGGAUUGUAAUUAAGAUCAGUAAUCAUGCCCUUCACUGGGCACGGGUUAGCUCUUCUGUAAGCACUCAGAAAGUCAACUUUAGUACCUCAUGCUUUCUCUGAAGUAAUUCGAUGACAAUAUAAGAAAAUCAGUUCUCUAAAAUGCAGUCUUAGACUUUGGCUCCACUAUGAGUUGAAAGAAUUUUGUGAGGAAAGAAAGGAAAAAAAGGAAAGACAUGUGUCUGUUUCUCACAUCUGACUGUGAAAAAUCCAUUUACUAUAACCUGAAAAGGAAAAAUAAACACAGUCCAUGAAAUUCUGCGGCAAAAAGGAAUGAAAAUGUUCUUUAAAAAAAAAAUUAAGAAAGAAAGAAAAAGAAACGAAACUGUAUUCUCUGCAGGUUUAGCGGCAACCUUUGCCAAAAUGUGCUUUCUGGAAACUUUCCUCUAGACCUGGCUCCCACCAGCAGGCUUGGCUGCAGGAGGAAGGCUUGGAAGACUGUGGUUUGGAAUGUGUGAAUGUCAAAGUCAGACGUUGUUCCCUUUUCUUUAUAACAACAACAAGCCUUUGGUUUUGGCUACAUACGUACUGGGUUUUCCAGUACUGACUUGUUUCUUUUCUUGUUACAGGUUAGAACUAUUGAGGGGCUCUUGGUAUUUUCAGCUUCUUUUUGUUUUAACCACCACUUUCCGCUUCCUCACAAUGCCCUUGAGAAGCUAACAGGCACUGUUUGCAGGCCGAAAUGGAGAAAGGACUGAAUGAGUAUGAAAUGGUUCGUGGGAAGCCACACAACAAGUUGGAAGGAGCUUCUGAAUUAGAGCUUACGAUUUCCUUGGCCUCGUAGGUCUGUAAACCUGGUCCAUGUAGCUAAGUUUUUCUGACAUUGAGGCCCACAGGUACAUGUUGAUCCACAGACAGAAGGUGAGACUUCAAACAGGUCAUCAGCACUCUGCAGAGUGACUAGACGUGGAAUGUUUUAAUACAAGAAUUGUCACCUGCUGGGCAGACUUUUAGCUUAAAAUUGUUUUUCCAUGGAUUAUUCUAAUCGCUAACAUAAUUCAGAUGGAAGAAGGGCAAUAUUGAAUAAUCCCAGCUAUGAAAAGAUUUGCUCAAUAAACAACAAAUAUAAAGUAGAUUAUAGGGACAAUGUCUCAUGUCAUAUAUCAUAUAUCACACACUUAAGAGUAAGACACAGGAAAUAACAGAAUCAAUCAUAACUGAAUUGCAGGGAGCUAUGCUUUUCAGCAAGCACCACUAUACAAUAAUCAUUGAUCCUGCUACUUCUGUGUCUUUUUCUUAAGUAUGUGGCGUACAACAUAUGAAUGACACAUAGUAGUCAUCUCAAAAAGAGACAUAGGUAGUCUGUGUAACCUACAGUAUUACACAGCAGUUGUUGCAACUGAAAAAGCUGUUCCCAGGAAAAGGGUACCUGCUGAAGUCAUUUUCACUGGAUCUUGAAGGUCAGCAGAACUCAUCAUGUGUCAGAGUUAUGCAGAAACAGAUGAAGCAAUGUGCAUAACUUGAACCAGAAAGCAUGUUGAAGAGUCUACUUGAAGGAGCAACAGUGGACUGAGAGACUGAGAAUUUUCUGUAAUUAGUAUAAAAUGCUUCCUGAUACCAGGGAGAUUUAUUAAUAGAGGAGGGCAUGGGAUGUGGGACAAUGUGGGACACAGGAAAGAACCUGUAGAUGAGAAAGAAUCAGGGACAAUGGAAUAAUCAGGAAAAAAGCAGACCAGGGCAGAGAAAUUUCCCUUGGCCACACUUGACUAAAACGAAAACCAGAGCCACACCAUCUAUGAUUUAUAGCUUAUUGCAUGCAUACGUUUGUCUAAGUUAACUGUUGGUAAUUGUAUUAUGAUGUUAGUGCUUUUUAUGUUCUUUCUGCGGAUUUCAUAAAAUCAGAUUAAAACCGUCUCUUCUUGUAUUA
Molecule: non-coding RNA, 3397 nt
Organism: Vicugna pacos (alpaca)
Lineage: Eukaryota; Metazoa; Chordata; Mammalia; Artiodactyla; Camelidae
Source: RefSeq, a predicted model, not a curated record